GUUUCUCUAGGAUUGGUCAAAUUGGUGUAGACACCUCUGAUGAGAUAUCCAAUAAGAACAAGCAUGCAUGAACAACCAUUUUUGAGAAGCGAGCCACAUGUAACAUUGCUCAUCAGCAAGCGGGCCGCACUACCAAAAGAAAAAGUUCAAGGUAAUUUUUCAUUGACGUGCCAUUCAGAAAAUCUUUUGGGCUACAGUUUGCCCAUGACUGUUUUAGAAGAUCAAUAACGGUAUUUUAUUAAUCCUCUCUACUCGUCACGCAAAAUUGAAUUUAUGAAAGUCACACACAUCCCCCACUUUGACCCAAAUUCGUGAUCUAUGAUUAAACCAUGUGAUUUGAAAAAA
Long non-coding RNA from Octopus bimaculoides (California two-spot octopus), 345 nucleotides. Lineage: Eukaryota; Metazoa; Mollusca; Cephalopoda; Octopoda; Octopodidae. The record is from RefSeq and is a predicted model, not a curated record.